AAUCCGUGUUGCGGACAAUGUGCACAAAGCUUUUUAAAUCGCUCCCAAUAGUCAUAAAAACUUUCUUCGAUCUUUUGUUGAAUGGAAAGAAUGCUCCUUCGUGACU
Small nucleolar RNA from Hibiscus syriacus, 106 nucleotides. NCBI's taxonomy places the organism in Eukaryota, Viridiplantae, Streptophyta, Magnoliopsida, Malvales, Malvaceae. The record is from RefSeq and is a predicted model, not a curated record.